CAGUCGCCGCGGUAACACGAAGGGUGCAAGCGUUAAUCGGAAUUACUGGGCGUAAAGCGUGCGUAGGCGGUUUGUUAAGUCUGCUGUGAAAUCCCCGGGCUCAACCUGGGAAUGGCAGUGGAUACUGGCAAGCUAGAGUGUGUCAGAGGAUGGUGGAAUUCCCGGUGUAGCGGUGAAAUGCGUAGAGAUCGGGAGGAACAUCAGUGGCGAAGGCGGCCAUCUGGGACAACACUGACGCUGAGGCACGAAAGCGUGGGGAGCAAACAGGAUUAGAUACCCCAGUAGUCCCUGUCUCUUAUAC
This 301-nucleotide ribosomal RNA is filed under the name uncultured bacterium. RNAcentral's name for it is "partial 16S ribosomal RNA". It matches the Rfam family "Bacterial small subunit ribosomal RNA", at positions 509 to 807 of the family's 1533-position model. The record is from RNAcentral.